UACGUAGGGGGCGAGCGUUGUCCGGAGUUACUGGGCGUAAAGGGCAUGCAGGCGGUCGGACGCGUUUUGUGUGACAGCGGGUGGCUUAACUACCCGAGGAUGCGAAAGACGGUUGGACUUGAGGACUCGAGAGGGACACGGAAUUCCGGGUGGAGUGGUGAAAUGCGUAGAGAUCCGGAGGAACACCGAAGGCGAAGGCAGUGUCCUGGCGAGUGACUGACGCUGAGGUGCGAAAGCCAGGGGAGCGAACGGG
Molecule: ribosomal RNA, 253 nt
Filed under: uncultured bacterium
Lineage: Bacteria
Description: partial 16S ribosomal RNA
Rfam family: Bacterial small subunit ribosomal RNA
Source: RNAcentral